CUCCUCUCUGUUCCUCUGUCAAGGCCGUCUCUCUCAGGACAUCCUCUCUGUUCCUCUGUCAAGGCCGUCUCUCAGGACAUCCUCUCUGUUCCUCUGUCAAGGCCGUCUCUCCUCUCUGUUCCUCUGUCAAGGCCGUCUCUCUCAGGACAUCCUCUCUGUUCCUCUGUCAAGGCCGUCUCUCAGGACAUCCUCUCUGUUCCUCUGUCAAGGCCGUCUCUCUCAGGACAUCCUCUCUGUUCCUCUGUCAAGGCUGUCUCUCAGGACAUCCUCUCUGUUCCUCUGUCAAGGCCGUCUCUCUCAGGACAUCCUCUCUGUUCCUCUGUCAAGGCCGUCUCUCUCCUAAGUGCACUUUCCCUCCUAACCCGACUUGCGCUUUGGAAUUGAUUGAAACAAAAUGUCACAAAUAUGGCCUGUAGCUCCGAGCCGUCCUUCUGCGCACGGCCUUAAUUAUUCAUCAAUUAGUUGUCUUUAUUUAUUUAUUUUUGCAGAGAUGUAUGGUUCCCCUGCUCUACAUCAGUCCAAAGUCAUUCAUUUCUGGGUUUGCAAUUAAACCUUAUGCAUCAUUUAUGAGCCAGACCCAACUCUGUCUGUCUGUCUGUCUGUCUGUAGACACCGCAACAAGCUGAGGUCCCUGUACUCUGGAGGGAACGAGGAUAAAUUAAUUCAGAGGAAUUAAGUUCUCUCUCUCUCAGGUUGGAAUGAACAGAUGCCAUCGGCCUGAGAGAGAGAAUGGAGAUAGAUAGAUCACCGUACGCCGAGAAUGACAACAAUAGGAGAGGAUAGAAACACUCAGUGAACAAAUGAAAAAUGUACAAAUCUAGAAAACAUGUAUAAAGUAUUCAAAUAUAU
RNAcentral lists this long non-coding RNA (849 nucleotides) under Salmo salar (Atlantic salmon). RNAcentral describes it as "lncRNA (ENSSSAG00000084267.1)". Lineage: Eukaryota; Metazoa; Chordata; Actinopteri; Salmoniformes; Salmonidae. The record is from RNAcentral.